UACGGAGGGGACUAGCGUUGUUCGGAAUUACUGGGCGUAAAGGGCGCGUAGGCGGCUUGGUCAGUCCCGUGUGAAAUCCCUCGGCUCAACUGAGGAACUGCACGGGAAACUGCCUGGCUUGAGUUCGGGAGAGGGAAGCGGAAUUCCGGGUGUAGCGGUGAAAUGCGUAGAUAUCCGGAGGAACACCGGUGGCGAAGGCGGCUUCCUGGACCGACACUGACGCUGAGGCGCGAAAGCUAGGGGAGCAAACAGG
RNAcentral lists this ribosomal RNA (253 nucleotides) under uncultured bacterium. RNAcentral's name for it is "partial 16S ribosomal RNA". It matches the Rfam family "Bacterial small subunit ribosomal RNA", at positions 524 to 776 of the family's 1533-position model. The record is from RNAcentral.